CGACUCUGCAGCCUGACUGACCGCGCUGAGGUGAGCACCGCAACUCUCAGACUUCCUGUGGGGCACUCUGGUCAGUCAUGGACGUCUCCGACCCGCAGACUCUCGGCUUCCUGGUCUUUGGAGGCUUCAUGCUCAUCUCGGCGGUGGGCAUCGCCCUCGUCUCCACCCUGUCCAUGAAGGAGACGUCGUACGAGGAGGCGCUGGCCAAACAGCGGCGCAAGCUCGUCCAGGUCCAGACCCAGAGAUCAGAGAAGAAGAAGAAGGACAAGACGCUGGAGAAGAAAAGCAAAGCCAAGAAGAAGGAGGACCGACCCGAUGGAAAGCUCUCAGAACCAGGCAGUGACGGCAGCGAGGACCCUGUGGUGGUGACCUGCACAGAACCAGAAUCAGACCCAGAACCUGCUGCAGAACCUGAUGCUGUGCCUGAACCCAAACCAACACCUGAACCAGAACCCGCUGUGAUGACCUCUGUGGAGUCUCCACCAGCCCCCUCACCAAAGGACAAGAAGAAGAAGAAGUCGGCCCGGACGGAGCCAGCUACUGUGGUGGAAACCGUUGCUAAGGAAGUUCUGAUCUUGGCCGUGGCCCCGGUGGUUGAUGUUCCUCCGGCGAACGUUGUCGCUGAGGUCACCAAAGAAACGUCUGCUGCCAAAACUGAGGAACCCAAAGAGACCUCAAGUAAGAAGAAGAAGUCCAAGAACAAACCUGAGUCAGUGUCCGUCACCGAACCUGCUGCCAUCUCCCGACUGCUGCCGUACGACAAGCUGCUGUCUGCCGUGUCCAAUAUGAUGCUCAGCGACGACCAGACGCACAAACUCAUGGAGGUCCUGAACCAGAAGGCUGGGGUCCGCCACGACUCCUGGCAGCUGGCCUGUCAGAAAGGAGACCCACUGUCCACUCUGAAGAAACAGCUGGAGGAGAAGGAGAAGCUGUUGACCGCAGAGCAGGAGGUCGCCGCCACCGCCAAGAGCCGCCUCAGAGAGAUCAGCAAGGAACUUGGUGCAGAGAAAUCCAAGAUGGAGGCCCAUCUGAAGUCGCAGCUGAGUGCUCGGGUCCAGGAGGUCGAGGCCAUGAAGACCAGGAUGAAGACUGUUGACCAGGAACACCUGAAACACACCCAGCAGCUCAAUAAGAAGAUCGGGAGUCUGCAGGAACAGCUGGAGAACGGCCCCAAUGCUCAGCUGGCCCAACUGCAGCAGGAGAACUCCAUCCUCCGAGACGCCCUGAACCAGGCCACCAGUCAGGCUGAGAGCAGGCAGAAUGCGGAGCUGGCUCGUCUCAGGCAGGACUGUGUCCGUCUGGGUCGGGAGUUGACGGAGCGGACCGACACCCUGCGUGCGGACGAGGUGCACAGGAAGAGCCUGGAGGCCAAGAUGGCCGCUGCCGAGCUGGUCCACGUAGACACUGAGCGCGCUCUGCAGCAGCAGCUGGAGGAAGUGCGUUUGCAGCUGAGCGCGUCGCAGCAGGAAGCAGGUGUUAGCGAGCUGCAGGGGGCGCUGGCGUCCAGAGAGGCUGAGCUGCAGGAGCUCAAGGCCCAGCUGGAGAACCAGGCUGCAGUCCAGGUGGAGAUCUCGUCGGAGGCGGAGCCGCUGAACACCUGUGUGCAGAACAGAGAUGAGCAGGUCCUCGCUCUGGAGGCGGAGCUCACACAGCUGAGGGAGGAGCUACGGCUGCUGACAUCAUCACAGUCACAGAGAGUGAAGGAGGACGAGUCUGAAGCAGCAGCUGGAGAUCAGGGAUCAGGAAGUGAGACAGAGUCUGAACAACCGUUUGAAAGUCUGGAGGAAGACUCUCAGCUUCUUCGUCUGGAGGAAGAACUUCAGCAGCUCAGAGACGAGCUGCAACAGAGUCGUAACCAUGGCAACGAGCUGCAGGAGAAAGUGUCGUCGUCAGCGGAGGCGUUGUCGACCGCAGAGCGACUGAUGGAGCAGAGAGAGGUGGAGCUUAAAGUGGCGCUGACUGAAGCUGAGUCCAGGUUCGGGUCCCUGUGUUCAGACUUCCAGGCGUCACUGCAGGUUCUGUUUCCUGGCGUCUCUGUGGAGGCGGAACAGACAAACUGGCUGGAACGUUUCACUCAGAAGGUUCAGGAGAGGAGCAGUGAAGCAGAGAGGUCUCACUCUGAGCUGCAGCUGAGGCUGGACGAGGCUGAGCAGGGACGGAUGGAGCUGCAGGUUCAGUUUGAUCAGAGCAGGAAGCUGCUGCAGGACACGGAGGCGGAGCUUCAGUUGGCGCAGCGACGUGCUGAAGACGAAGAAAACAUCUGGAGGAAUAAAGUGUCAGAGGCUGAGCAGCAGAAACAAACAGUCCUGGAUCAGCUGAAGCUGCUGGAGGUCGAAGUUCAGGAGACGAGGACGGAGACAGGAAACACUCAGCAGCUGAAGGAGCAGCUGAUGUUGUUGGAGGCACAGCUGGAGAAACAGCUGGAGGAGGCGAGCUUCAGUCAGAGCUGCAGUGAGGAGCUCGCUCAGGUGCAGGCUCAGUUGCAGCACAUGUCCGUCAGGUUGCAGUCGGAGCAGCAGCAGCGGCAGCAGCUGGACAGAGAGCUGCAGCAGGCUCAACAGGAAGUGAUGCGGCUGCAGCAGCAGGUGGAGGCUCCGCUCCAGGAGGUGAAGGAGGAGACGCCGGUGUGACGUCGCUCCGCUCCGACUAAUGAACUCUGACAGCUGCUCAGCUACCUGCUGUUGCCAUGGAAACCACAGAUGUCACUAAACCAACCGAGACUGAAAACCGAAGAGUGAUGAACUUUGAACUUUGUGACUUCGACCUGCAACAGAGAGUUUGACUGAACACAAGAUUACAGGCCCGGUUCCACGGCCCGAGUCUGGCCCAUAUACAGCCUGAGCGUCAGGUGCCGCUUCAACAUCUGGCCUGGCUGUCAGUCAACACCAGAGAAUAACAGCCAGAAUCUGCCCAGAUGUGGAAGAACACGGGCCAGACUCGGGCCGAGGACCCAGACAGAUGUUGGGCCAGAUGUUUCAUGUUGAUCCAGACACAGAAGGAGAAACUGAACGGAUGAAAGCCAAUUUUAUUGAUCAAGUAACAUAAAUAGGACAAAUGUUUCACUGUACAUACAACCUGGAAAGCAAAGUAAAAAUAAAUAGUGUCACAGCAAUAAAUUAAAAGCCUGAAUGGAGUCGACUGUUAGCUAGGAGUCAGUGACAUGAGAUGCUGAGUCACGUUCGUCUCCGAGGACGACAGUGCAGUUCGAUGGCUAUUUACACACAUUUUACUUUAUACACACGUUUUCAGUCCGAGUCGUUUCACACUCUUCAGUUCACAUUCUUCUUUUCACGAUAACUUCAGCAACAAUUUAAAAAACUACGAAAAGCAAAAAGCAGCGGCUGAUUAUUAAAAACCUUUAGUUACAUGUUACAACAGCGUCGUCACAGCUAUCAACGUUUCUUUAAUACGUGUUCAGUAUCAAAUACUUCAGUCAGCAGGUUACAAAAAUAUCACACACUCUUCUUUUUCCACCAGCGUCCUCAGUUCCGACAGCCUGGAGACGUCAGUGAACACAGCAGCUCUCAACCCUAAGUUCAGCUCCUCAGAACC
Seriola dumerili (greater amberjack) is the source of this 3552-nucleotide RNA transcript. It is a transcript of the gene named ribosome-binding protein 1-like, with no coding region annotated. The record is from RefSeq and is a predicted model, not a curated record. The transcript is spliced from 25 exons. Lineage: Eukaryota; Metazoa; Chordata; Actinopteri; Carangiformes; Carangidae.